This is a microRNA precursor of Homo sapiens (human), 100 nucleotides long. Ensembl annotates it as microRNA 3943. The record is from Ensembl. Lineage: Eukaryota; Metazoa; Chordata; Mammalia; Primates; Hominidae.
CACACAGACGGCAGCUGCGGCCUAGCCCCCAGGCUUCACUUGGCGUGGACAACUUGCUAAGUAAAGUGGGGGGUGGGCCACGGCUGGCUCCUACCUGGAC